Molecule: long non-coding RNA, 787 nt
Organism: Heterocephalus glaber (naked mole-rat)
Lineage: Eukaryota; Metazoa; Chordata; Mammalia; Rodentia; Bathyergidae
Source: Ensembl
GUCAAAUUUAGAUCUUGAAUUCUAAAGGUGUGUGAAUUUCAUUUUUACUUACUUUUGUUGAGUUUCUAGGACUUUACCAUCGUGUAGAUUUACUUGCACUAACUGUGGCCUAUGAAGAAGUCCGUCCAAGUUCAGAUGAAAAUGUCACCGGACGGAGAUGUGAUGGAGACAAAAUUCAACAAUGUUUCUGUCCACGUAUAUGUGUCAAAGAGGAAAUCAGAUACACCAAGAAGGGUUGUGUGUUAUCCAUGGUGGUGGCUGGUGUUCUGGAAGUGGUGCUAGGUGGAUUCUUUGAGAGAUGUCUAUCACUGGAGUAGAUUGCAAAUGUUUUACUAAGGCUUUAUAUUGUGCUUUUCAGCAAAGAUUAUGAAGCUGGUGAAAAAAUUACUGAUGAAAUGUGUAGAACAAAAAUUGUAAAGAACAAUUAGAAAUUUCAGUGGGAAAGUCCAAUUCCACUGUGUUGUAGAUAUGUAUUUUCUUAAGCUUUAUGUAAUUAUGACCUGAGAUCAAGAUGGACAGCAAAGAAACGUGAUGCUAUUUUAUCAAGCAAAUAGCAGCUGCAUUGUUUUAUUUGAAGGUUUCACCGACCAAGAUUCUCUAAGCACUUAGCCGGCUGAUGCAUGAUGAUACCAAAAAUAAAUGUUCCUCAAUGAUAUUGAAGGAAUUAAAAAAAACUAUCUCUAUCCUGAUUAUUAUGCAGGAAAAACAUCUGUUUGGGGUUGUGUGAGGGUGAGUGGUUGGAGUCCGUACCCUUUUACUGCUGGACCCACAUGUAUUUGUUCUUUGG